GAUGAAGAACGUAGCGAAAUGCGAUAAGUAGUGUGAAUUGCAGAAUUCAGUGAAUCAUCGAAUCUUUGAACGCACAUUGCGCCCCUUGGUAUCCCGAGGGGCAUGCCUGUUCGAGCGUCAUUUCACCACUCAAGCCUGGCUUGGUGUUGGGCGACGUCCCCUUUGGGGACGCGCCUCGAAACGCUCGGCGGCGUGGCACCGGCUUUAAGCGUAGCAGAAUCUUUCGCUUUGGAAGUCGGGGCCCCGUCUGCCGGAAGACCUACUCGCAAGGUUGACCUCGGAUCAGGCAGGGAUACCCGCUGAACUUAAGCAUAUUCAAUAAGCGGAGGA
This 330-nucleotide unclassified non-coding RNA is filed under the name soil metagenome. RNAcentral's name for it is "partial contains 5.8S ribosomal RNA, internal transcribed spacer 2, and large subunit ribosomal RNA". The stretch from base 1 to 120 matches the Rfam family "5.8S ribosomal RNA", at positions 35 to 154 of the family's 154-position model. The record is from RNAcentral.